UACGGGGGGAGCAAGCGUUGUUCGGAAUUACUGGGCGUAAAGGGCUCGUAGGCGGCCAACUAAGUCAGACGUGAAAUCCCUCGGCUUAACCGGGGAACUGCAUCUGAUACUGGAUGGCUUGAGUUCGGGAGAGGGAUGCGGAAUUCCAGGUGUAGCGGUGAAAUGCGUAGAUAUCGGGAGGAACACCAAUGGCGAAGGCAGCUCGCUGGGACGUUACUGACGCUGAGACGCGAAAGCGUGGGGAGCAAACAGG
RNAcentral lists this ribosomal RNA (253 nucleotides) under uncultured bacterium. Its description in RNAcentral is "partial 16S ribosomal RNA". It matches the Rfam family "Bacterial small subunit ribosomal RNA", at positions 524 to 776 of the family's 1533-position model. The record is from RNAcentral.